GCCCUCGUAGCUCAGGGGAUAGAGCGCUGGUUUCCGGUACCAAAGGUCGGAGGUUCGAAUCCUCUCGAGGGCACCA
Molecule: transfer RNA, 76 nt
Filed under: Corynebacterium kalinowskii
Lineage: Bacteria; Bacillati; Actinomycetota; Actinomycetes; Mycobacteriales; Corynebacteriaceae
Description: tRNA-Arg
Rfam family: tRNA
About the family: Transfer RNA (tRNA) molecules are approximately 80 nucleotides in length. Their secondary structure includes four short double-helical elements and three loops (D, anti-codon, and T loops).
Source: RNAcentral